RNAcentral lists this ribosomal RNA (703 nucleotides) under uncultured bacterium. RNAcentral describes it as "bacterial SSU rRNA". It matches the Rfam family "Bacterial small subunit ribosomal RNA", at positions 62 to 800 of the family's 1533-position model. The record is from RNAcentral.
UCGAACGGAGAAUUGCUAGCUUGCUAAUAAUUCUCUAGUGGCGCACGGGUGAGUAACACGUGAGUACCUGCCCCCAAGAGUGGGAUAGCCCCGGGAAACUGGGAUUAAUACCGCAUAAAGCAAUAAAGCAGCAAUGCGCUUGGGGAUGGGCUCGCGUCCUAUUAGUUAGUUGGUGAGGUAACGGCUCACCAAGGCGAUGACGGGUAGCCGGUCUGAGAGGAUGUCCGGCCACACUGGAACUGAGACACGGUCCAGACACCUACGGGUGGCAGCAGUCGAGAAUCAUUCACAAUGGGGGAAACCCUGAUGGUGCGACGCCGCGUGGGGGAUAAGGUCUUCGGAUUGUAAACCCCUGUCAUGUGGGACAUUAAAAGAUAGUACCACAAGAGGAAGAGACGGCUAACUCUGUGCCAGCAGCCGCGGUAAUACCGAGGUCUCAAGCGUUGUUCGGAAUCACUGGGCGUAAAGCGUGCGUAGGCGGUUUCGUAAGUCGUGUGUGAAAGGCGGGGGCUCAACCCCCGGACUGCACAUGAUACUGCGAGACUAGAGUAAUGGAGGGGGAACCGGAAUUCUCGGUGUAGCAGUGAAAUGCGUAGAUAUCGAGAGGAACACUCGUGGCGAAGGCGGGUUCCUGGACAUUAACUGACGCUGAGGCACGAAGGCCAGGGGAGCGAAAGGGAUUAGAUACCCCUGUAGUCCUGGC